Molecule: ribosomal RNA, 855 nt
Filed under: uncultured delta proteobacterium
Lineage: Bacteria; Deltaproteobacteria
Description: bacterial SSU rRNA
Rfam family: Bacterial small subunit ribosomal RNA
Source: RNAcentral
UUCGGGGGUAUAUAAAGCGGCGAACGGGUGAGUAACAGGUGGAUAAUCUACCUCUCGGCGGGGGAUAGCUGCUGGAAACGGCAGGUAAUACCGCGUACGGUUUUUUGGGCAUAAGCCCGAAUAAAGAAAGGCGCUUCACGGCGUCACCGAGAGAUGAGUCCGCCCCCCAUUAGGUAGUUGGUGAGAUAAAAGCUCACCAAGCCUGCGAUGGGUAGCCGGGCUGAGAGGUUGGCCGGCCACACUGGAACUGAGACACGGUCCAGACACCUACGGGUGGCAGCAGUAGGGAAUAUUGGACAAUGGGCGAAAGCCUGAUCCAGCCAUGCCGCGUGGAUGAUGAAGGCCUUCGGGUCGUAAAGUCCUUUUCUUAGGGAAGAACAACCAGGAGAGGAAAUGCUCCUGGUCUGACGGUACCUGAGGAAUAAGCAACGGCUAACUCCGUGCCAGCAGCCGCGGUAAUACGGAGGUUGCAAGCGUUGUUCGGAAUAACUGGGCGUAAAGGGGGCGCAGGCGGCUUAUUAAGUCUGAAGUGAAAGUCCGGGGCUUAACCUCGGAAGGCCUUUGGAUACUGGUAAGCUAGAGUACGGAAGAGGAGAGUGGAAUUCCAGGUGUAGCGGUGAAAUGCGUAGAUAUCUGGAGGAACACCGGUGGCGAAAGCGGCUCGCUGGGUCUCUUCUGACGCUGAGGCACGAAAGCUAGGGUAGCGAACGGGAUUAGAUACCCCGGUAGUCCUAGCUGUAAACGAUCAGCACUAGACUGAGGGAACUCCCACAUUCUCUCGGUCGUAGCGAAAGUGUUAAGUGCUGCGCCUGGGGAGUAUGGCCGCAAGGCUGAAACUCAAAGGAAUUGACGGGG